GUAAGGAAUAUUGGGCAAUGGACGCAAGUCUGACCCAGCCAUGCCGCGUGCAGGAUGAAGGCCCUAUGGGUUGUAAACUGCUUUUAUACGGGAAAAAACCCUUGCUCGUGAGCGAGGCUGAUUGUACCGUAGGAAUAAGCAUCGGCUAACUCCGUGCCAGCAGCCGCGGUAAUACGGAGGAUGCAAGCGUUAUCCGGAUUCAUUGGGUUUAAAGGGUGCGCAGGCGGAAUUAUAAGUCAGUGGUGAAAGCCCCUCGCUCAACGAGGGAACUGCCAUUGAUACUGUUAUUCUUGAGUAUAGUUGAGGUAGGCGGAAUGUAUCAUGUAGCGGUGAAAUGCAUAGAUAUGAUACAGAACACCGAUAGCGAAGGCAGCUUACCAAACUAUAACUGACGCUCAUGCACGAAAGCGUGGGGAUCAAACAGGAUUAGAAACCCCUGUAGUCC
This 445-nucleotide ribosomal RNA is filed under the name uncultured bacterium. Its description in RNAcentral is "bacterial SSU rRNA". It matches the Rfam family "Bacterial small subunit ribosomal RNA", at positions 354 to 796 of the family's 1533-position model. The record is from RNAcentral.